AGCAGCAGGAGAGAGGAAGAGCAGGAAACAGACAGCUGCACAAUCAGUAAGCAGAGGCAGGGUCCAUCACAGGGGAAGCUGAGCCAGGGAGCCAAGCUGAAAAAGCUGCCUGGAGGGGCUGUAUUGAUAAUAUCCCAGCCUGCAAGGCUCAAUCCAUCCCCUGGGGCGCUCAGCAGCAAGUGGAUGAAGAGUCCCCGGACGGUCUUUUGGCUCCACAGCCAGACACUGCAGCUAGAGGAAGAGAUCUGAACAUGAUAGAAGGCAGGUACACACACACACAAACAGGCACACUGCCCGAACAGCUUCCCCACACCUCAUUUAUUCUCAUUUUGAGUCUCCCCUCUCAGGCUCGCUGCAGAGUGAGGGGCAGAGAGCACAGAGGAGGCGAGGAGAUGUACGAGGGAGGGGAUGGAGAGAGAAUGACAGCCUUACGCAGACGAUCGUCCUCCUCUCUUCUCUCCCAUCAGAAGUGCUAAUCCAGCCAGCGGAGGUGCAGACCACCGCUCACACCUGCCUGCUCCUCUCCAUCUUGUUAGGGCCCAGAUGGGAGAGAAAGUGACUUCCUGCUGUACUUCCACCACAGGGCUCGUUCCUUCACAUUAAUACCUUUACCGCUCGGCUCCAUUUGUUACACACACUCAAGACACACACUCAGGGGGAGCCCGGGGCUGUGAAUGAUGGCCAUAUGCAGAACUGUGCUCAUCUAUAACCCCCUGUGGCUGGAACAAAGUAC
Perca fluviatilis (European perch) is the source of this 733-nucleotide long non-coding RNA. RefSeq lists it as uncharacterized. The transcript is spliced from 3 exons. NCBI's taxonomy places the organism in Eukaryota, Metazoa, Chordata, Actinopteri, Perciformes, Percidae. The record is from RefSeq and is a predicted model, not a curated record.